UGCCCUAUCAGCUUUGGAUGGUAGGGUAUUGGCCUACCAUGGCUUUUAACGGGUAACGGGGAAUUGGGGUUCGAUUCCGGAGAGGGAGCCUGAAGAGACGGCUACCACAUCCCAAGGAAGGCAGCAGGCGCGUAAAUUACCCAAUCCUGACACAGGGAGGUAGUGACAAUAAAAUAACAAUGCCGGGCUUUUACAAGUCUGGCAAUUGGAAUGAGAGCAAUUUAAACCCAUCAUCGAGGAUCAAUUGGAGGGCAAGUCUGGUGCCAGCAGCCGCGGUAAUUCCAGCUCCAAUAGCGUAUAUUAAAGUUGCUGCAGUUAAAAAGUUAGUAGUUGGAUUUGUGGCGCGGCCGUCCGGCGGGGCUCCUUCAUUGGGGCCGUUUGUCUGGUUUUUCGGCCGCUCCAUUCUCGGGUAGUGUGUCGCUGGCAAUAGGUUGUCGGCUUCUUCACGCCCGUCGUUUACUGUGAAAAAAUUAGAGUGUUCAAAGCAGGCUUAGGCCAUUGGAUACAUUAGCAUGGAAUAAUGAGAUAGGGCCACGACGGUCUAUUUUGUUGGUUUGCACGUUGUGGUAAUGAUUAACAGGAACG
Molecule: ribosomal RNA, 585 nt
Filed under: Colpomenia sinuosa
Lineage: Eukaryota; Phaeophyceae; Ectocarpales; Scytosiphonaceae
Description: SSU rRNA
Rfam family: Eukaryotic small subunit ribosomal RNA
Source: RNAcentral